CCUGUAACGAUUUCUUUUUUUUUUUCUUUAUUCACCCAUUUCUUCUUUUUUCACCACUACUUUUUACUCAAUUUUGUCCCUCUUUGUUCCUUUCAGGUUUUCACCCGCACAUUGGUAUGUUCUCAUUCCCAUUUCCAGUGGACAUAGUGAGAGAGAGAAAGGAUCGGAGACAGGACGAUGGAUUUUUCGACGCGACAACGAGAUUGAGUGUAUGGCAAGGGAAAAGAGUUGAACGAAAAAAAAAAGGGGGAAAAUAGUGGAAAAGUAGUGGACACUUCCGCCUCACACUGACAUCCUGAUGCCAGUUCCAUGAUGUCAUUUCCCCAACAACGCUGGGGACCACCGGUUUUUCUACCUUUUUUACGGGACUGGGUUUCCUCGGUUAUGACGUGGCUCCACGGUGGAAUCAAACUGGAGAUAAUUCCCAGCCCCAAGGAAAGCCGGGGAAUAUCAGUCAAUAAAUAAUGGCUUACGAUUCGCUGGAAUUCGGGUGAUGGAAGUUUCACUCGGUAUUUAUGGUCUCCUGGCGCAUACAGAUGCUCAAAUACAACUCUCCUGAAUCGCUGACGUUCUUAUUAUCGUCUCGGAGUAACGGGUGGGCCUUUGCAGGCUGUAGAAAUUCUGGAAAAGUUCAAUCCAACUCCGGUGGGGUAGAAUUGCCACCAAUACAUGGAUUCCGCGUCCGAGAUAUCCUGCAGAAUCAACACUACAGCCUCUCACUCCAGGUCGGAAGCUUUACGUGAUGCAGUGGAUACUCCAGGUUCCAUCAAUUUUUAAUGGGAAAAGACGUUCAUGCCAAUAAUCCCUCGAUGUCCCCCGACGGCCAUAAAAAUCCACGGAACGGUACCUCCUCUUUCUCCCUAUUAAUAGUGAUGUUGAAAGCACUAAACCGUCAGAAGUGUAUUACUACGGUAUCGAUGUGAGCAGAAAAUAUCUGAGUAUGAAAUUCAAUGAUUACGUACGAGUGGACGGAGAUCCCACUGGUGUGGAUAUCACCGUAACUUGGUUGAAGGAUAUCACCAGAUCGGCCGACAUGGAGAUCUUUUACAUAGUUCAAACGACGAAGGGCGAGGAGAUUGCAUCGAAAUUCUUCGAUUUACCAAGCCUGUGCAGUGAACGUUACUCAUACAACAGCUGGGAUGGCAAUAUCAUGGAAAUUUAUACUCGAGAAAUGACGAACCUCGGAUGCCCCAUCAAAUCGGAAACUAUGAUCAACCCACUUGCAAAAUUCACCAUCUUCCUGACAUUUAAUCAUAAAAUUCCGUGCACAACCCUGCAAUUUAUUAUGGACCUCUACCCCGUCGGCGAACCCGACUCCACAGUAUUUCUCCUCUUGGAGGGUGAUGUACAUUCGUACCAUGGUUGUUGAGGUGAAGGCCCUCCCUCUCGUUCCUCCCCUGUCUCUCUCACACGCAAAAAAAUACCGUCCAGAUACUCGUGACAAUUAUAUUUCCAUGUUAAGGUUAUAGCUUCAAAUUAAUUGAAGCGAAUAAUUUGAAUAAAUUUACAUAAUUGCUUCGCGUUUACUUAACUGAAAGCAAUUCACCUGAAUUCAA
Molecule: long non-coding RNA, 1556 nt
Organism: Diachasmimorpha longicaudata
Lineage: Eukaryota; Metazoa; Arthropoda; Insecta; Hymenoptera; Braconidae
Exons: 5
Source: RefSeq, a predicted model, not a curated record